Molecule: ribosomal RNA, 327 nt
Filed under: uncultured eukaryote
Lineage: Eukaryota
Description: partial 18S ribosomal RNA
Rfam family: Eukaryotic small subunit ribosomal RNA
Source: RNAcentral
CCCUUAGAUGUUCUGGGCCGCACACGCGCUACACUGAAGGAGGCAGCGUGUACUCCUGGAUCGAAAGAUUUGGGUAACCCGCGAAUCUCCUUCGUGCUAGGGAUUGAGGUUUGCAAUUAUCCUUCAUGAACGAGGAAUUCCCAGUAAGUGCAAGUCAUAAGUUUGCGCUGACUACGUCCCUGCCCUUUGUACACACCGCCCGUCGCUACUACCGAUUGAAUGAUUUAGUGAGGACUUCGGACUGGGACCGAUGCGGCUUUCGGGCUGCGUCGGUAUUCUGGAAAGAUGUCCAAACUGUAUCAUUUAGAGGAAGUAAAAGUCGUAACA